UACGGAGGGUGCAAGCGUUAAUCGGAAUUACUGGGCGUAAAGCGUGCGCAGGCGGUUUGUUAAGUCCGUUGUGAAAGCCCCGAGCUCAACUUGGGAAUUGCAGUGGAUACUGGCAGGCUGGAGUACGGUAGAGGAAGGUGGAAUUCCCGGUGUAGCAGUGAAAUGCGUAGAUAUCGGGAGGAACACCAGUGGCGAAGGCGGCGAUCUGGGAAGAUACUGACGCUGAGGUGCGAAAGCGUGGGGAGCAAACAGG
This 253-nucleotide ribosomal RNA is filed under the name uncultured bacterium. RNAcentral's name for it is "partial 16S ribosomal RNA". It matches the Rfam family "Bacterial small subunit ribosomal RNA", at positions 524 to 776 of the family's 1533-position model. The record is from RNAcentral.